RNAcentral lists this ribosomal RNA (465 nucleotides) under uncultured bacterium. RNAcentral describes it as "partial 16S ribosomal RNA". It matches the Rfam family "Bacterial small subunit ribosomal RNA", at positions 339 to 795 of the family's 1533-position model. The record is from RNAcentral.
CUACGGGGGGCUCCAGUGGGGAAUAUUGGACAAUGGGGGAAACCCUGAUCCAGCAAUGCCGCGUGUGUGAAGAAGGCCUGCGGGUUGUAAAGCACUUUCGGUUGGGAGGACUGCUUCUAGCACUAAUAUUGUUGGAAGUUGACGUUACCUUCAGAAGAAGCACCGGCUAACUCCGUGCCAGCAGCCGCGGUAAUACGGAGGGUGCAAGCGUUAAUCGGAAUUACUGGGCGUAAAGCGCGCGUAGGCGGCUAGAUCAGUCGGGUGUGAAAGCCCCGGGCUUAACCUGGGAACUGCAUCCGAUACUGUCUAGCUUGAGUACAGGAGAGGAGAGUGGAAUUCCACAUGUAGCGGUGAAAUGCGCAGAUAUGUGGAGGAACACCAAUGGCGAAGGCAGCUCUCUGGCCUGAUACUGACGCUGAGGUGCGAAAGCGUGGGGAGCAGACAGGAUUAGAUACCCUUGUAGUC